UCCGUAAGGAAUAAGUGUUGCUGGGAGAGCAAAACAGAGGACAAGAAGAGGGGUCUCAAAAUAGCAAAUUAGAACAAAUCCAACCACAAAGUAUUUAUUCUCUUCCUACAGAUCUGUAUGCUACUUAUCAACUUAUUUCCUUGCCUUUGACCUUGGAAUCUCCAGAGAUUUUCACAGUAACUUUUAAUUGUACACAACUGGGUUGACAAGACAGAAUUUAAUCUGACUGCUCUAUGCUAGAAGCCAGAUUUUCAUCUGCAUGAAGGCUAUUCCACAUCACAAAAGAUUAAAAAAAAAAAAGAGAAGACCUUUAAGAAGGUGACUACACUUCUAACUCACCACUGAUAGAGACUCUCAAGCACAGUACCCUGGAAGUUUAUUAUUUCUGAUAGAAUUUGGAGUAGAGAGCAUGAAUAUGGCCUGAAAUUGGUCUUAAUACUAACAGAAUGUUUGAUGUGAGCAUAAACAGUACCUACAACUUUUAUUUUUCAUACUUUCUCUCCAUAAAUUUGCAGACAAGUAGUUUUCUGGGUACUCAUUUUAGUUUCAUAGCAUCCUUGUCACCUCAGAACACUGGGAAGUCUCCCAGGCAAAGUGCUGUACAUCCUUUCCUUAAGCAAAUUAUAUUUGUGGAAAGGUCGGAAUAUAACUAAUUGAACUUUAGAAGAGUAACUGGGUUAAAAGACUUAAUGAUUCGAGUAUCUUUAGAAUUUAUCCAAACAGAGAAAACCGUCUUUAUUUAACACACAUUAAGUAACAGUGUUUUGCUGUGGCUGAAACUGACACCACAACUCUGUUCAACAAUACAUCCCUAUACUUUUUGGUGAGAAAAGGAAAGGCUUAGGGUUAUGUAUGGGAAUUCAGUGGGAAUUCAGGGGAGAAGAGCUCUAUCCUAAAUUCUGAGAUACCAGGGACCUUACAAGGUGCAAAUUUAAAGCAUUGCCUUUGAAAUCUACCAUUUUUUUUCUAAGUUCUUUGCUUCUUAUUCUGUACUGGACUUCAGAUAUCCUUGAUCAACUUUGAAAAAAUUACAUGUUGUUUGAGAGCUUUUAUCUGUUAGUUAAUUUAAAUAGCAACCUACAAACAUAGCAGAAGAGAUUCUAAAAAAAUUUGUUUUCUCUAUUUUUUUUUCCUUUUUCUUUGUGAAUAAUCAUUAAAACAUAGAGGAAGGUAAUAACAUAAACAUCAUCUUCUUUUUAUGUCUUUUUGUUAACUAAGUAACAGACCUUAGCACUUUUCAGCAUUUAUAUCCCAUCACCAGUUUUGCUUUCAUAGGUAAAGCUCUCAUCAUUUCAAGGGAAUAAGUUUCCUAUUUAUUUCUUACAUCUGGUGAAGACCUCAUUCAGAGAAGACCAUCUUCUGUUCCUUCUGUUGUUUGUAAGCAGCAAUGGCCAUGAUUCCUGUGCCAGAGACAGCCUCAUGAGAGGAAAGACUUACGGUGCAGAGGAGUCAGAACAAAUGGAUGCUUUCUAUUAAUUAGGAUGCAGGCCAGAAGCAAAAGUGAGGCUUUCUGCCUCUUGCAAGUUCAGAAGCUCAUUGAAGGAUGGAGUUGUUGCAUAGGCAACUUUGGGACUGGAUGAAUAAUGUGAAUACACAGGACAGCAGCAGCAAUGAAAGGAGCACCAAGGAAGAAAAAUAAAAUCUGCCAAGCCCAAAACUUGGACAAAAUAAAACUUCUUUGAAUAGGAUUUAAGUCAUGCUGCGUGACACGAAGGGGGAAAUGCAUCCAACAAGCUGGUAUCCUUAAAUCCACAUUCUGCCCUGGCUGCUUGUUGUCAGAGCAGCUGGUGCCUGCACGCCAAAGGGGAUGUCUUCUCAACAGGAGUUGCUUAAAUGCAAAAGAACUAAGCUUUCUCUGCAGUUUUAAACUCAUGAGUUAGUUAUCAAGGAUCUAGAAUAUUUUUGGGCUACUAUCAGUGAAGUUAAAUGAAUCAUUUCCCGCUGUUCAGGAAAGACAUCAAUAAAUACCUCAGGGUCAGAUCCAGAAUAAUUAGCAGAGCUGCUAUGUGGAUACCUGCCCUACUGGGAUCUACUGAUUUAUGUCUACUCUUCCUAUUCCCAACUGCUCAGUCCCUAGUUUGUCACUUCUCAGACCUGCCUUUGGCCCCCACAUCACACUUCCCUGCUGCAGUGCCUGACUGCUGUAUGUACACUGACAGCAUCAUGCCACAGCCUCUUUUUAGUCCUAGGGAGCCAUGUCUACAUGACCAGUGAUAGCUGUGCCUAUAGUAUGCAGCAGCUGGGUCAUGGGGAAAGACAGGCCAUGGCAACACAGUGGGCUGGCAAUAACAGUAGAUUAUGCUGCUCACCUCUGAUAGAGCUGUGAGGAGACAUCAAGGUAAAAAGGAGUCUGUCAUUUCAUAGUAAAUUACAUUUCCCAACUGCUUUCUGCCUGACAUCUAUCUUCUCAAUAUUUCUAAAAUAAGCUGUAUUGUCUUACUGUCAGAACAGACUGUUUGUCUGGGAUAUUCCAACAAGUUUAGGAAUCUGUCCCAUAGUUUCAUCUGUGUGGAAAUGCUGUACUUUAUGAUUAGCAUGUUGGAGUAUGCUUUGCUGGAAGGAUGACCCAAGAGAGAAUCUGUAGUGCCUGUGUUGGGAAAUAUACACACACUUCUCACACCUAACCAUUAUUCCUAUACCAACUCUUCAUGCAAAGGAUGCACAAAUACCAUUUCGUAUUUGGCAGUAACAUUUCCCAAGUAGUAUUGGAACAGAUGCAUUUAAAUGAAUAUGGAGGCUAUUUUGUGAACAGACCCAAAAAAUCCCCUGAACUGGCUUACCCAGGUAGUGAAUGAUGAUGGUAAUGGGUUCUCUGUAGACUAUGUCAUGGUUUUUUUUCCUUACACACCUCCAACUGGGAUGUGUUCAGAAUGACACUUGUAGAACCUGACAGUAUGUGCCAUCAAGGAAUUUGAAAUGAACAUCACUGUCAGCAAUGCUAUUGUAGAGCUUUUUCAAAAUGGUCACCUUAUGUUAUCAUUGUAUCUCAGUAAAGAUAUAUCCAAAACACAAACAAGAAGCUCAAUCCUUGUUGCAGUAGCCAUUCAAAAUUUCUAAGUGUACACUAACCACCACCUAAACCAAAGUUCUAAAGCCAACUGCAGGCUCUGCUCCUAGCCUUUUAUGCAGCAUGCUGUGUUAGUUAAUAAUCGCCUCCUUAAAACUGUGUGAAUUAAUCCUAGAUGGUCUGGACUUUUGUCAAAGCUCCCGUUAUCAGGAAGUAACUGCCAGUUUUGCAGAUCCAGGCUUUUCAUGGAUCAAAAGGAAGGAAUGGAAAUGCUGCUGCUUCUUUCAGUGCUUACUUGGGCUAAGUAAAUGACAGCAAAGUACUCUUGCUUCUAAAUAGUGAGCACCAUGAAGCCACCUGGAUGGAUCUGCACUGUGCACGGCCUCUUCAUCUACACAUGGCCCAAAGGCCCUGAACUCUAAUUUGCAUCUAGUUUGGAAGCUGGCCACAGUGACACCCACACUUCCUCUCACUCAAAUUGCUCUGUGAUAUCAUGGCAUGCAGAAGAAAUCCACAGCAGAAGCUCAUGACGUGGAGGACCUUCACUUUUGCCACUGGUAAUAUGGGCUUAAUACAGUUAUUAACAACAGGGUUUCACCAAUGUAAAUGGCAGUGUUUUUGAAGUACUACCACAGAUGUAGACAGAAAUGAAAACAUGUACAUUCCUUCUAAUUAGACAGAAUCCAGUUGGAUUAAUUUCAGCAAAAACUCAACUGUCCUUUUAGAAACAAAUGUCCUUCACCACAAGAAAAUGAUACUGAGAAAAAGAAAUGCAAGAGGAUUCAGACAGUUAUCUUUUCAGAUUUCAAUUAAAAAGAAAAUACUUGCCUGUGUAACAUGGAACAAUCAGGAUUUCACUGUUCUUACAAGCUCACACAGAGUCUGCAACAAAAUAAAAUCUUGCUUCAGUCUUA
This is a long non-coding RNA of Tympanuchus pallidicinctus (lesser prairie-chicken), 3921 nucleotides long. RefSeq lists it as uncharacterized. NCBI's taxonomy places the organism in Eukaryota, Metazoa, Chordata, Aves, Galliformes, Phasianidae. The transcript is spliced from 2 exons. The record is from RefSeq and is a predicted model, not a curated record.